GGCUCCUUGCUGUAUAUACAUAAGGAGUCGGACCUGCCCGGUGAAAAAUUUUAACGGCCGCGGUACUCUGACCGUGCAAAGGUAGCAUAAUCACUUGCCUUAUAAUUGAAGGCUAGUAUGAAUGGUUUGACGAAAGCACUGCUGUCUCUUUUUUACUAUAUAGAAAUUAACAUUCAGGUGAAGAGGCCUGAUUGAAAUUAAAGGACGAGAAGACCCUGUCGAGCUUCAAGGGAAAUCAGGAAAAUCUUAUAUUUAUAGAUAAAAAACCUUUUUUACCUUUUGGUUGGGGCGACUAGGGAACAAUAAAAGCUUCCCCUAUUUAUAAAACUUUUUUGUUAGGAUCCAGCAUUCUUGCUGAUUGAAAGAAUUAGUUACCGCAGGGAUAACAGCAUAAUCCUUCUUGAGAGACCUAAUCGAAAGAAGGGGUUGUGACCUCGAUGUUGGACUAGGAUAUCCUAAGGGUGCAGAAGCCUUUGAGGGUUGGUCUGUUCGACCGUUAAAAUCCUACG
RNAcentral lists this ribosomal RNA (509 nucleotides) under Cerithium lifuense. Its description in RNAcentral is "partial 16S ribosomal RNA". It matches the Rfam family "Bacterial large subunit ribosomal RNA", at positions 1816 to 2600 of the family's 2925-position model. Lineage: Eukaryota; Metazoa; Mollusca; Gastropoda; Cerithiidae. The record is from RNAcentral.